AACGAACGCUGGCGGCGUGUCUUAAGCAUGCAAGUCGAGCGGCAAGGCGGGGCAACCCGCCCUAGAGCGGCGGACUGGUGAGUAACACGUGGGUGAUCUACCCUUGGUUUGGGGAUAGCCCGUGGAAACAUGGGGUAAUACCGAAUACGUCGUCCUGGCUACGGCCUGGACGGGAAAGGCGCCAAGGCGCCGACCGAGGAUGAGCCCGCGCCCCAUUAGCUAGUUGGUGAGGUAACGGCCCACCAAGGCGAUGAUGGGUAGCCGGCCUGAGAGGGUGUACGGCCACACUGGGACUGAGAUACGGCCCAGACUCCUACGGGAGGCAGCAGCUAAGAAUAUUCCGCAAUGGACGAAAGUCUGACGGAGCGACGCCGCGUGGAUGAAGAAGGCCGAAAGGUUGUAAAAUCCUUUUGUCGGGGAAGAAUAAGCCUGGGAGGGAAUGCCCGGGUGAUGACAUGAACCGGCGAAUAA
This 471-nucleotide ribosomal RNA is filed under the name uncultured bacterium. RNAcentral's name for it is "bacterial SSU rRNA". It matches the Rfam family "Bacterial small subunit ribosomal RNA", at positions 29 to 489 of the family's 1533-position model. The record is from RNAcentral.